RNAcentral lists this ribosomal RNA (468 nucleotides) under uncultured bacterium. RNAcentral's name for it is "partial 16S ribosomal RNA". It matches the Rfam family "Bacterial small subunit ribosomal RNA", at positions 28 to 507 of the family's 1533-position model. The record is from RNAcentral.
GACGAACGCUGGCGGCGUGCUUAACACAUGCAAGUCGAACGGAAAGGCCCUGCUUUUGUGGGGUGCUCGAGUGGCGAACGGGUGAGUAACACGUGAGUAACCUGGCCUUGACUUUGGGAUAACUUCAGGAAACUGGGGCUAAUACCGGAUAGGAGCUCCUGCUGCAUGGUGGGGGUUGGAAAGUUUCGGCGGUUGGGGAUGGACUCGCGGCUUAUCAGCUUGUUGGUGGGGUAGUGGCUUACCAAGGCUUUGACGGGUAGCCGGCCUGAGAGGGUGACCGGCCACAUUGGGACUGAGAUACGGCCCAGACUCCUACGGGAGGCAGCAGUGGGGAAUAUUGCACAAUGGGCGGAAGCCUGAUGCAGCAACGCCGCGUGCGGGAUGACGGCCUUCGGGUUGUAGACCGCUUUCGCCUGUGACGAAGCGUGAGUGACGGUAAUGGGUAAAGAAGCACCGGCUAACUACGUG